Molecule: ribosomal RNA, 497 nt
Filed under: uncultured bacterium
Lineage: Bacteria
Description: partial 16S ribosomal RNA
Rfam family: Bacterial small subunit ribosomal RNA
Source: RNAcentral
GAUGAACGCUGGCGGCGUGCCUAAUACAUGCAAGUCGAGCGAACGGACGAGAAGCUUGCUUCUCUGAUGUUAGCGGCGGACGGGUGGGUAACACGUGGAUAACCUACCUAUAAGACUGGGAUAACUUCGGGAAACCGGAGCUAAUACCGGAUGAUAUUUUGAACCGCAUGGUUCAAAAGUGAAAGACGGUCUUGCUGUCACUUAUAGAUGGAUCCGCGCUGCAUUAGCUAGUUGGUAAGGUAACGGCUUACCAAGGCAACGAUGCAUAGCCGACCUGAGAGGGUGAUCGGCCACACUGGAACUGAGACACGGUCCAGACUCCUACGGGAGGCAGCAGUAGGGAAUCUUCCGCAAUGGGCGAAAGCCUGACGGAGCAACGCCGCGUGAGUGAUGAAGGUCUUCGGAUCGUAAAACUCUGUUAUUAGGGAAGAACAUAUGUGUAAGUAACUGUGCACAUCUUGACGGUACCUAAUCAGAAAGCCACGGAUAACUACGUG